This 527-nucleotide ribosomal RNA is filed under the name uncultured bacterium. RNAcentral describes it as "bacterial SSU rRNA". It matches the Rfam family "Bacterial small subunit ribosomal RNA", at positions 777 to 1310 of the family's 1533-position model. The record is from RNAcentral.
AAUAAUACCCGGGUAGUCCACGCCCUAAACGAUGUCAACUGGUUGUCGGGUCUUAAUUGACUUGGUAACGCAGCUAACGCGUGAAGUAGACCGCCUGGGGAGUACGGUCGCAAGAUUAAAACUCAAAGGAAUUGACGGGGACCCGCACAAGCGGUGGAUGAUGUGGAUUAAUUCGAUGCAACGCGAAAAACCUUACCUACCCUUGACAUGGCAGGAAUCCUGGAGAGAUCCGGGAGUGCUCGAAAGAGAACCUGCACACAGGUGCUGCAUGGCUGUCGUCAGCUCGUGUCGUGAGAUGUUGGGUUAAGUCCCGCAACGAGCGCAACCCUUGUCAUUAGUUGCUACGAAAGGGCACUCUAAUGAGACUGCCGGUGACAAACCGGAGGAAGGUGGGGAUGACGUCAAGUCCUCAUGGCCCUUAUGGGUAGGGCUUCACACGUCAUACAAUGGUACAUACAGAGGGCCGCCAACCCGCGAGGGGGAGCAAAUCCCAGAAAGUGUAUCGUAGUCCGGAUUGUAGUCUGCAA